Hyaena hyaena (striped hyena) is the source of this 265-nucleotide long non-coding RNA. RefSeq lists it as uncharacterized. The transcript has 3 exons. The record is from RefSeq and is a predicted model, not a curated record. Lineage: Eukaryota; Metazoa; Chordata; Mammalia; Carnivora; Hyaenidae.
CCUUCCCCACAUGAAUUCUCAGUAACUUUCAAGAGCUACCGGUGAGAAGAGGGCAGUUAUACUUGGAGACAGUGGAGAUGUACCAGAGAGAAGCCAGGACUUGGGAGUUUCCCCUCAAUCACCAUGCUGUGCUGAUGUGAGAGCUCUGCCUGUGUAGCCCAGAGGCUAGUACACAGCAGUUUCUCAGUAAUUUGUGUUAAACGGAAAAGCAAAUUAGAUGUGGACAGAAAGGGAAAAUGAUGAGCUUAAAAGGAUUCUGCCAUUG